This 752-nucleotide long non-coding RNA is filed under the name Rattus norvegicus (Norway rat). Its description in RNAcentral is "long non-coding RNA NONRATT009271". The record is from RNAcentral. Lineage: Eukaryota; Metazoa; Chordata; Mammalia; Rodentia; Muridae.
UGCACGACCAUUCAUUCAUUUAUUUGCAAAUCUCGACACCUCCACUUGUGACAGUAUUGUCUCAUUAAGGAAGGCUUUCUUUUAUCUAAUAUAUCUAAUAUAUCCCUAAUAUAUAUCUAAUAUACAUCUAAUAUACACAUGUAUUACACACACAUACAAAGUCAGUACUUCCGUUCAAAACAAAGUUGGCCUUCUGCACGUACUUCGAGGUUGACGGUAUCAACGCCCCCCUCAGCGUCCUCUCAAAACGUUUUGGAGCUAGGUAUCACAUUCCUUCUGGAAACAUCUUCAGGGCGGCCCGCAGACCUCAGCUCUAACCUGAGCAGGAGGGCCUGGGAAGGCUUCCACUUUGAAGGCUCUCAGGUCACCCCGUUCACACCCUUACGGGGAGAGAAGCCCCGCCCCCAGGGCGGAGCCCAGGCGGAGCCGCCCGCUCUCCUCCGCCUCCGAGCCUCGUCUCAGCCCCGGGUGCGCGCGGCGCAUGUGCCCGGUUCCCCCUCCCCGGCCCUGGAUUCCACUUCCCCUCCGCUCGCGCCACAGCGGCAAUCUCCAGGCCCCGCGCCGCCUCCGGAGCCCAUGGCCGGGACGCGCUGGGUGCUAGGGGCGUUGCUCCGGGGCUGCGGCUGCAACUGCAGCAGCUGCCGGCGAACCGGUGCCGCCUGCCUGCCCUUCUACUCGGCCGCCGGCACUUUCCCGUCCGGCGUCUCUGGCCGCCGCCGCCUGCUGCUACUCCUCGGGGCCGCCGCGGCCGC